UACGUAGGUGGCAAGCGUUGUCCGGAUUUACUGGGUGUAAAGGGCGUGUAGCCGGGCUGACAAGUCAGAUGUGAAAUCCGGGGGCUCAACCCCCGAACUGCAUUUGAAACUGUUGGUCUUGAGUAUCGGAGAGGCAGGCGGAAUUCCUAGUGUAGCGGUGAAAUGCGUAGAUAUCAGGAGGAACACCGGUGGCGAAGGCGGCCUGCUGGACUGCAACUGACGUUGAGGCCCGAAAGCGUGGGGAGCAAACAGG
This 253-nucleotide ribosomal RNA is filed under the name uncultured bacterium. RNAcentral describes it as "partial 16S ribosomal RNA". It matches the Rfam family "Bacterial small subunit ribosomal RNA", at positions 524 to 776 of the family's 1533-position model. The record is from RNAcentral.